This 210-nucleotide ribosomal RNA is filed under the name uncultured bacterium. Its description in RNAcentral is "partial 16S ribosomal RNA". It matches the Rfam family "Bacterial small subunit ribosomal RNA", at positions 1292 to 1500 of the family's 1533-position model. The record is from RNAcentral.
UUCGGAUUGUAGUCUGCAACUCGACUACAUGAAGCCGGAAUCGCUAGUAAUCGCGGAUCAGAAUGCCGCCGGUGAAUACGUUCCCGGGUCUUGUACACACCGCCCGUCACACCAUGGGAGUCGGAAAUGCCCGAAGUCAGUGACCCAACCGAGAGGAGGGAGCUGCCGAAGGCAGGUCUGGUAACUGGGGUGAAGUCGUAACAAGGUAAC